Molecule: ribosomal RNA, 468 nt
Filed under: uncultured bacterium
Lineage: Bacteria
Description: partial 16S ribosomal RNA
Rfam family: Bacterial small subunit ribosomal RNA
Source: RNAcentral
GACGAACGCUGGCGGCGUGCUUAACACAUGCAAGUCGAACGGAAAGGCCCUGCUUUUGUGGGGUGCUCGAGUGGCGAACGGGUGAGUAACACGUGAGUAACCUGCCCUUGACUUUGGGAUAACUUCAGGAAACUGGGGCUAAUACCGGAUAGGAGCUCCUGCUGCAUGGUGGGGGUUGGAAAGUUUCGGCGGUUGGGGAUGGACUCGCGGCUUAUCAGCUUGUUGGUGGGGUAGUGGCUUACCAAGGCUUUGACGGGUAGCCGGCCUGAGAGGGUGACCGGCCACAUUGGGACUGGGAUACGGCCCAGACUCCUACGGGGGGCAGCAGUGGGGAAUAUUGCACAAUGGGCGGAAGCCUGAUGCAGCAACGCCGCGUGCGGGAUGACGGCCUUCGGGUUGUAAACCGCUUUCGCCUGUUACGAAGCGUGAGUGACGGUAAUGGGUAAAGAAGCACCGGCUAACUACGUG